This 1522-nucleotide ribosomal RNA is filed under the name Exiguobacterium sp. A5. RNAcentral describes it as "16S ribosomal RNA". It matches the Rfam family "Bacterial small subunit ribosomal RNA". The record is from RNAcentral. Lineage: Bacteria; Bacillati; Bacillota; Bacilli; Caryophanales.
AGAGUUUGAUCAUGGCUCAGGACGAACGCUGGCGGCGUGCCUAAUACAUGCAAGUCGAGCGCAGGAAGCCGUCUGAACCCUUCGGGGGGACGACGGUGGAAUGAGCGGCGGACGGGUGAGUAACACGUAAAGAACCUGCCCAUAGGUCUGGGAUAACCACGAGAAAUCGGGGCUAAUACCGGAUGUGUCAUCGGACCGCAUGGUCCGCUGAUGAAAGGCGCUCCGGCGUCGCCCAUGGAUGGCUUUGCGGUGCAUUAGCUAGUUGGUGGGGUAACGGCCCACCAAGGCGACGAUGCAUAGCCGACCUGAGAGGGUGAUCGGCCACACUGGGACUGAGACACGGCCCAGACUCCUACGGGAGGCAGCAGUAGGGAAUCUUCCACAAUGGACGAAAGUCUGAUGGAGCAACGCCGCGUGAACGAUGAAGGCUUUCGGGUCGUAAAGUUCUGUUGUAAGGGAAGAACAAGUGCCGCAGGCAAUGGCGGCACCUUGACGGUACCUUGCGAGAAAGCCACGGCUAACUACGUGCCAGCAGCCGUGGUAAUACGUAGGUGGCAAGCGUUGUCCGGAAUUAUUGGGCGUAAAGCGCGCGCAGGCGGCCUCUUAAGUCUGAUGUGAAAGCCCCCGGCUCAACCGGGGAGGGCCAUUGUAAACUGGGAGGCUUGAGUAUAGGAGAGAAGAGUGGAAUUCCACGUGUAGCGGUGAAAUGCGUAGAGAUGUGGAGGAACACCAGUGGCGAAGCGACUCUUUGGCCUAUAACUGACGCUGAGGCGCGAAAGCGUGGGGAGCAAACAGGAUUAGAUACCCUGUAGUCCACGCCGUAAACGAUGAGUGCUAGGUGUGGAGGUUUCCGCCAUCAAUGCUGAGCUACGCAUUAAGCACUCCGCCUGGGGAGUACGGUCGCAAGGGCUGAAACUCAAAGGGAAUUGACGGGGACCCGCACAAGCGGUGGAGCAUGUGGUUUAAUUCGAAGCAACGCGAAGAACCUUUACCAACUCUUGACAUCCCCCUGACCGGUACAGAGAUGUACCUUCCCCUUCGGGGGCAGGGGUGACAGGUGGUGCAUGGUUGUCGUCAGCUCGUGUCGUGAGAUGUUGGGUUAAGUCCCGCAACGAGCGCAACCCUUGUCCUUAGUUGCCAGCAUUUGGUUGGGCACUCUAGGGAGACUGCCGGUGACAAACCGGAGGAAGGUGGGGAUGACGUCAAAUCAUCAUGCCCCUUAUGAGUUGGGCUACACACGUGCUACGAUGGACGGUACAAAGGGCAGCGAAGCCGCGAGGUGGAGCCAAUCCCAGAAAGCCGUUCUCAGUUCGGAUUGCAGGCUGCAACUCGCCUGCAUGAAGUCGGAAUCGCUAGUAAUCGCAGGUCAGCAUACUGCGGUGAAUACGUUCCCGGGUCUUGUACACACCGCCCGUCACACCACGAGAGUUUGCAACACCCGAAGUCGGUGAGGUAACCGUAAGGAGCCAGCCGCCGAAGGUGGGGCAGAUGAUUGGGGUGAAGUCGUAACAAGGUAACCGUA